Molecule: ribosomal RNA, 491 nt
Filed under: uncultured bacterium
Lineage: Bacteria
Description: partial 16S ribosomal RNA
Rfam family: Bacterial small subunit ribosomal RNA
Source: RNAcentral
AGUGAACGCUGGCGGUGGCCUAACACAUGCAAGUCGAACGGCAGCACCGUAAGAGCUUGCUCUUACGGGUGGCGAGUGGCGGACGGGUGAGGAAUACAUCGGAAUCUACUUUUUCGUGGGGGAUAACGUAGGGAAACUUACGCUAAUACCGCAUACGACCUACGGGUGAAAGCAGGGGAUCUUCGGACCUUGCGCGAUUGAAUGAGCCGAUGUCGGAUUAGCUAGUUGGCGGGGUAAAGGCCCACCAAGGCGACGAUCCGUAGCUGGUCUGAGAGGAUGAUCAGCCACACUGGAACUGAGACACGGUCCAGACUCCUACGGGAGGCAGCAGUGGGGAAUAUUGGACAAUGGGCGCAAGCCUGAUCCAGCCAUACCGCGUGGGUGAAGAAGGCCUUCGGGUUGUAAAGCCCUUUUGUUGGGAAAGAAAAGCAGCAGGUUAAUACCCCGCUGUUCUGACGGUACCCAAAGAAUAAGCACCGGCUAACUUCGUG